AGUGAACGCUGGCGGUAGGCCUAACACAUGCCAGUCGAACGGCAGCACAGUAAGAGCUUGCUCUUACGGGUGGCGAGUGGCGGACGGGUGAGGAAUACAUCGGAAUCUACUUUUUCGUGGGGGAUAACGUAGGGAAACUUACGCUAAUACCGCAUACGACCUACGGGUUAAAGCAGGGGAUCUUCGGACCUUGCGCGAUUGAAUGAGCCGAUGUCGGAUUAGCUAGUUGGCGGGGUAAAGGCCCACCAAGGCGACGAUCCGUAGCAGGUCUGAGAGGAUGAUCAGCCACACUGGAACUGAGACACGGUCCAGACUCCUACGGGAGGCAGCAGUGGGGAAUAUUGGACAAUGGGCGCAAGCCUGAUCCAGCCAUACCGCGUGAGUGAAGAAGGCCUUCGGGUUGUAAAGCCCUUUUGUUGGGAAAGAACAGCAGCAGGUUAAUACCCCGCUGUUCUGACGGUACCUAAAGAAUAAGCACCGGCUAACUUCGUG
Molecule: ribosomal RNA, 492 nt
Filed under: uncultured bacterium
Lineage: Bacteria
Description: partial 16S ribosomal RNA
Rfam family: Bacterial small subunit ribosomal RNA
Source: RNAcentral